Molecule: long non-coding RNA, 1210 nt
Organism: Panicum virgatum (switchgrass)
Lineage: Eukaryota; Viridiplantae; Streptophyta; Magnoliopsida; Poales; Poaceae
Exons: 3
Source: RefSeq, a predicted model, not a curated record
UAAAUACUAAUUGAUUCCAUUUGGAUUCAACCGUGCAAGGUGCCUUUAUGCUAUAUUCGAUUAAAUUUGUCAUCAUGAUUCAUAUGAGAAGAGUGCCCCAAGAAAAUGUCACCACAGGUUUAUGAAUCCACCCAUGUCGCUUCUUUUGUGACGUUUUUUUUUCCUGAUUUCAGCUUGUCUCCAUGGUGUACUUUCGAAUGUAUGAAUAUCUUGGUCGUGUUGUACGUCUGUGCUCUUUACAUCGUCUGGAUCAGCAAGUUCAAAGGGAAGGGAAUUUGAUUCCAGAUAGCAAUACACCACCAAAAAUCAAAAUUAAAGAAUUUUCUAAAUUUUGGCUCUCCUGCAACAUUGGUGGAGUAAUAACAAAAUGACAGAUUUCUUAAAUUUGUUUAGGCUCCACCAAGGACACAGCAUCCCUGGAUCUGUGUGAGCUUAGUAAUCGCCAAUCCAUCACCCUUACUCAAAGAGACAUUAGGAAACAUAACCACCGUGAAGGGGUUUCAAAUUUCUGAUGAUGGUCCUCAACUGAGACUUUUACCUGACAACAAUAUUCUGCGCAGCAACCUGCCUGUUGGAGAAAAAAAAAACAAUAUUCUGCGCAACAACCUGACCAAGGCCACAUAACCAUGCGGGGAAGACAACAGCCAGAGAUAUACAAAUACAAGGACAAAAAUGCAAGGAUAUAAAGUUAGAGCGUUUUUUCAAGGAGGCUGUGAUCAAAUGAGGUGUAAAUUCGCUCACAGAAAUUACGACAGAUUCAAUCCUAGCAUAACAGGAACUGGGCUCAGCAUGGAGAAGAUACAUGAUACUGGGUUUCUUCUGACAUUGCAUAGGCAUGGACGCUACCUUGAGUAUGCUAAUUAUUGAUCGGGGAAGAAGGUAGCCAAAGCCAUAACAAGGUCAAACCAGCUAAAUGAUGUUUUGGACGUCUGCUGGCUUUCAUUGCCAGCAGGGACAUUGCCACGUGGGAAAGACAACAGCUGGAGAUGUACAAGGACAAAAUUGCAAGGAGAUAAAGAGCGUUUUUUCAAGGAGGUUGUGAAUAUGUGAUCAAAUGAGGUGUAAACUCGCUCACAGAAAUUACAGGGUUGCCUCAACAAUUCAACAUGUGUAAUUUUUUUUGCCCAACUACAUUUGUAAAAUCAUGAGCUCUGAAGUCAUUUAAUCAUGUGAGUGUAAUAGUACUCACCCAGCAUUACUACAGAUUCAA